RNAcentral lists this ribosomal RNA (514 nucleotides) under uncultured bacterium. RNAcentral describes it as "bacterial SSU rRNA". It matches the Rfam family "Bacterial small subunit ribosomal RNA", at positions 25 to 518 of the family's 1533-position model. The record is from RNAcentral.
CAGAACGAACGCUGGCAGCGUGGAUUAGGCAUGCAAGUCGGACGGGAUCCGGGGGGUAGCAAUAUCCCCGGUGAGAGUGGCGGAUUGGGGAGGAGCACGUGAGCAACCUGCCCUGGAGAUGGGGAAAACCGCUGGAAACGGCGGCUAAUACCGAAUGUGGCGCCGGGAGGCAUCUUCCGAGCGCCGAAGGGGGCCGAAAGGCUCCCGCUCCGGGGAUGGGCUCGCGAACCAUCAGCUUGUUGGCGGGGUAACGGCCCACCAAGGCCUACGGUUAGCUGGUCUGAGAGGAUGACCAGCCCCACUGGGACUGAGAUACUGCCCAGACUCCUACGGGAGGCUGCAGUCGAGGAUCAUUCGCAAUGGGCGAAAGCCUGACGAUGCGACGCUGCGUGGAGGAUGAAGGCCUUCGGGUUGUAAACUCCUGUCAUGAGGGAACAGGCGAGGGGACCCAACACGUCCCCGAGUUGAGUGUACUUCAAGAGGAAGGGACGGCUAACUCUGUGCCAGCCGCUGC